RNAcentral lists this ribosomal RNA (479 nucleotides) under uncultured bacterium. RNAcentral's name for it is "bacterial SSU rRNA". It matches the Rfam family "Bacterial small subunit ribosomal RNA", at positions 31 to 507 of the family's 1533-position model. The record is from RNAcentral.
GAACGCUGGCGGCAUGCCUUACACAUGCAAGUCGAACGGCAGCACGGGAGCAAUCCUGGUGGCGAGUGGCGAACGGGUGAGUAAUAUAUCGGAACGUGCCCAGUCGUGGGGGAUAACGUAGCGAAAGCUACGCUAAUACCGCAUACGAUCUAUGGAUGAAAGCGGGGGAUCGCAAGACCUCGCGCGAUUGGAGCGGCCGAUAUCAGAUUAGGUAGUUGGUGAGGUAAAGGCUCACCAAGCCGACGAUCUGUAGCUGGUCUGAGAGGACGACCAGCCACACUGGGACUGAGACACGGCCCAGACUCCUACGGGAGGCAGCAGUGGGAAUUUUGGACAAUGGGCGCAAGCCUGAUCCAGCAAUGCCGCGUGCAGGAUGAAGGCCUUCGGGUUGUAAACUGCUUUGUACGGAACGAAACGGUGAGCUCUAAUACAGUUUGCUAAUGACGGUACCGUAAGAAUAAGCACCGGCUAACUACGUG